GAUGAACGCUAGCGGGAGGCCUAACACAUGCAAGCCGAGCGGUAUUGUUUCUUCGGACUUGAGAGAGCGGCGUACGGGUGCGUAACACGUGUGCAACCUGCCUUUAUCUGGGGGAUAGCCUUUCGAAAGGAAGAUUAAUACUCCAUAAUAUAUUGAACGGCAUCGUUUAAUAUUGAAAGCUCCGGCGGAUAGAGAUGGGCACGCGCAAGAUUAGCUAGUUGGUGAGGUACCGGCUCACCAAGGCGAUGAUUUUUAGGGGGCCUGAGAGGGUGGUCCCCCACAGGGGGACUGAGACACGGACCAGACUCCUACGGGAGGCAGCAGUGAGGAAGAUUGGUCAAUGGGUGCAAGCCUGAACCAGCCAACCCGUGUGAAGGACGACUGCCCUAGGGGUUGUAAACUUCUUUUGGAUAGGGAUAAACCUACCCUCGGGAGGGUAGCUGAAGGUACUAUACGAAGAAGCACCGGCUAACUCCGUG
RNAcentral lists this ribosomal RNA (479 nucleotides) under uncultured bacterium. RNAcentral's name for it is "partial 16S ribosomal RNA". It matches the Rfam family "Bacterial small subunit ribosomal RNA", at positions 28 to 507 of the family's 1533-position model. The record is from RNAcentral.